UUAUUGGAGAGUUUGAUCCUGGCUCAGGACGAACGCUGGCGGCGUGCCUAAUACAUGCAAGUCGAGCGGACUUGAUGGAGUGCUUGCACUCCUGAAGGUUAGCGGCGGACGGGUGAGUAACACGUAGGCAACCUGCCCUCAAGACUGGGAUAACUACCGGAAACGGUAGCUAAUACCGGAUAAUUUAUUUCACGGCAUGGUGGAAUAAUGAA
This 212-nucleotide ribosomal RNA is filed under the name Paenibacillus sp. ISL-20. RNAcentral's name for it is "partial 16S ribosomal RNA". It matches the Rfam family "Bacterial small subunit ribosomal RNA", at positions 1 to 205 of the family's 1533-position model. The record is from RNAcentral. Lineage: Bacteria; Bacillati; Bacillota; Bacilli; Caryophanales; Paenibacillaceae.